Gopherus evgoodei (Goodes thornscrub tortoise) is the source of this 224-nucleotide long non-coding RNA. NCBI's taxonomy places the organism in Eukaryota, Metazoa, Chordata, Testudines, Testudinidae. The record is from Ensembl.
AGUCUACUUUGGACAUGAUGCUGGAGGGAUACAAGUGGAAGAUAUGCUCUGGUAACCAGACUGACGCAGGGUGUGUUGCCUCCUCUACUACAAUGGACUCUCUAUUUACUGAGGAGAGUAGUGCUUUGUCUUUAACAUCGGAUAAUCCAGUCUUGUCCAGGUUAGUCUCUGUAUAUACUUAAUUCUUAAAUAAAUUAACCAGACCUGUCAGAUCAUGAAUGUCU